AAUCCCAAAUGUGAAGGACUCUAGUCCUUCUCAAACCACCAUAGUGCGAGCCUUGCCAAAACUAUGCAUCAAGAGUCCUUUCUAGCUAUGACUCUAGCUAAUGACACUAUGAAGCUAUGUGGCACCAUCCAAUGGCUACCAUACCCAAAUCCAAAUCCAAAUUAAGCCUUGGUUCAAUUUGGUUUAAUCAAAAAGUUGGAUUUAAAUCAAAUCGAACCUGAUUCAAGGAGCUAAAGUUUCUACAUGUGCUAGUAUGCUUAUCGAGAACCCGACUGGAUCUAAAAUUUCAAUCAACCAUAUCAAAUGAGUCCUUGGUUAAUUCUUUUAUAUGUGUGAUCUAUUGAAUUCUAUAUCUAACCAGCAGUAGAUCCGGAUGCAUGUUGACCUAGUCUGAUUAGAACCCUUCUAAUCAAUUAAGAUCCAAACCAUAUCGACCCGAGUUUAGUAAUUAAAAUUCUUUCUAAUUAAGGAUCAAAUUAAAUAUUUAAAUUUAAUCAAACUUAUAAGUUAAGAUUGACAUCUAGUAAUGUAUCAUAACUAUCCAAAAGAUAUAAAAUUUGAUAAAAAUACUAAAUAUAUCCUUCAAUAGUAAGUUACCAUGC
This 602-nucleotide long non-coding RNA is filed under the name Elaeis guineensis (African oil palm). Its description in RNAcentral is "long non-coding RNA (EGUI_LNC035035)". Lineage: Eukaryota; Viridiplantae; Streptophyta; Magnoliopsida; Arecales; Arecaceae. The record is from RNAcentral.